GACGAACGCUGGCGGCGUGCUUAACACAUGCAAGUCGAACGGAAAGGCUCCAGCUUGCUGGAGUACUCGAGUGGCGAACGGGUGAGUAACACGUGGGUAAUCUGCCCUGCACUCUGGGAUAAGCCUGGGAAACUGGGUCUAAUACUGGAUAUGACCUUUCUCCUUAUGGGGUUUGGUGGAAAGUUUUUCGGUGUAGGAUGAGCCCGCGGCCUAUCAGCUUGUUGGUGGGGUGAUGGCCUACCAAGGCGACGCCGGGUAGCCGGCCUGAGAGGGUGAUCGGCCACAUUGGGACUGAGAUACGGCCCAGACUCCUACGGGAGGCAGAAGUGGGGAAUAUUGCACAAUGGGCGGAAGCCUGAUGCAGCGACGCCGCGUGAGGGAUGACGGCCUUCGGGUUGUAAACCUCUUUCAGCAGGGACGAAGCGUAAGUGACGGUACCUGCAGAAGAAGCACCGGCUAACUACGUG
RNAcentral lists this ribosomal RNA (467 nucleotides) under uncultured bacterium. RNAcentral describes it as "partial 16S ribosomal RNA". It matches the Rfam family "Bacterial small subunit ribosomal RNA", at positions 28 to 507 of the family's 1533-position model. The record is from RNAcentral.